Lynx canadensis (Canada lynx) is the source of this 2442-nucleotide long non-coding RNA. RefSeq lists it as uncharacterized. The record is from RefSeq and is a predicted model, not a curated record. NCBI's taxonomy places the organism in Eukaryota, Metazoa, Chordata, Mammalia, Carnivora, Felidae. The transcript is spliced from 3 exons.
GACAGGGAGGAUUACAUGUGGCACACAGAUGAUCUACUUGGAUGUUUCCUGGUACUCUUGACCUAUUUUAACUAUGAACAAACAUGUGUAGCUACCCAGAACUGUGAAGGAUAUGAUUUUCAAGGGCUCAGAUAAUCAGAAAUGAAGGUUUGGGUCACAUCAGGAGGUAACUCACCCAGGUCUACUGAAGUGAUAGCUAAGAAUGUGGGGAAGGCAUUUAGAAUGAAGACUGGGGGAGGAUGAGGAGGAAGACUCGUUAUGGUCUUGAGGUCAAUUGCAAUGAUGAGGGUUGUUGUUCAUCCAUUAACUUCCCUCUUUUGAGUUUUCCCUCAGGAAGAAAGGCUCAUAGGAAAAGUGGAAGAGAAGCUGCCUGAACCUAAGUGGAAAAGUGGAUCCAUGUGGCACAAGGGGUGGAUUAUGAAAAUAAACCUCACAAAUCCCCUACUGUAAGGAGGGUAAUGGACCAAAGACCCAAGCUGGGGCACUCUGACAUCCAUAGCCCUGUUUAUACUGAGGCAUUGCCUCCCAUGGGCUGCUCCUAGCCAAUAACUCUGAGUGGCAAAAAUUCUAAAGCAAGCCUGUUCCAGAUGGUUCACCUUGGCUCAAGGACCACUGACACUCUUGCCAAACCUCUCCUAGACUGUAUAGGGGUCUAGCAUGUUUCCACCCAACCUUCCCUCCCACUCUCCUUCCGUUAGGGGCCAGCUUUGCAUAAAUAUCUGAUGGUUCUUCCAGCUUUCCCCAUCUCCCUCCCCAUUUUCUUUCAUAGAUACUUCUCCUAAUAAGACCUUUGCAUGCUUAAUCCCAUUUUGGUAAAAAGUGUCAAUAGUUCUGAAGUUGAGAAACUUUGGCUUACAGAGAUAAUAACAGCAGGAGCUGAGUAUCAAUAUUAGCUCAACUACUUUGUGAUUCCCUGGAGAUAGAGCUCCUGAGGAUUGGGCCAGAUGGCAGAUGCUGCACCAAGAAAAAUGAUAUUUCUGAGAAGCAGUUGGACUAAGAUUAACAGUAUUCUGCUUCCAAGGGGUUUGGUCAGAACUGACUUUCUCUGAGAAACCAUGGUCUUAACAACCCUUGUCCACUCUGGCUUCCCUCCUUCCUUCCUCCCUUUCUUCUUUCGUUGUUUCAUUCCUUAAUCCCCAUACCCCUUCUCUCUUCUCUUUCUUUUUCUCCCCUUCUCUCUUUUCUGGCCCCAGUGACUUUUUGUCUCUUGCCUUAAUAUUGUAUAGUUAGUAAAUGACAAUGAUUACUCAAUAGUUCCAUCAUGAAAACACAAUUCUCAUGCAAGCAGUUUACAAUGACUUUUAGUUUGAAAUUUCUCAUGGUUCGGUUUCGGAUAAAAGGUGAAUGUUCUUGGAAAGUUUGAACUUAAUCAGAAAAGUUAUUUUAGAAUUAUGAUCUUAGGGUAAUUGCUGGGCUUUUAGAUCUGGAAAUAUUUUCUUACCAGUUAUUGUCCACUGAUUGCAAGGAAAUUUGGGUUAAUAAAUUUAUCACUUAAUAAUUUUUUCCUCCUCUUCAGUUCUUACGCAUUUGCACAUAUUCAGUUUCACUUCUACGGUUAGCACUGCACCCCCAAAUUAAAGCCGAUUUUAGUCCAACGUCAGGUUCUAACUGGGUCAGGUUUGCUAAGAAUCAAGCCCACUUUUGUCAAUUCUUUUCAUAAAAUUGGUCUGGGUUUCAAGAACAUAAUGAAACCAGAAUGUGGGGGAGUUUAGAAUAUAGUCUGGUCUCAAUUCGUCUGCUCUUUGAAAACCACGGUCUGGUUUCAACCCAACUAAACUUGGAUAGUUUAAUUUAAAAAAAGUAGUGACUAGAAAAUCCCAUCAAUCCAUGGAGCACAAUAGCACUCUUCUAAGGACACUAAACCCAGAAGAAAAGGAAGCAUGGAAGUUUUCUUGUUAGGUUUGCCAAUAAAGUGAUAGAUAUUCUAAAAUAAUGUUUCAGAAUUUAUAAGUGAUAGCCUCUUCAGAAAGUGAUCUUGGGUAUGCAGUCAGCCCUAUUUAUGUCUCAUAUCUCUAUAUUGAUCAGUUUUCUUCAUCUGUGUUCCCAAAUGUCUUGCCUCACCUGCAGGCCCUGUUUUUCCUAACUGAAGUUUUAAGGGUUUUAAAAUUCUCAGUUCUUCACUGAAUGAGGCUUGCAUUAGUCACUAUCCAAGACUUAGAUCCAAUGAAGUUCUGACCAUGGGACUGUCACUUUGGAAAAUGGCCACUGGGCUCCUGCCAUACUCAGAUUUUCCCCAUGACACCUGAAGUCCAUGUUCAACUGAGAGUGAUCUGUUUGAAUGACCUGCAUGGAUUCUCUUAGAUGGGCAUGGAAGCUGGGCUCUAUGUAUGUGCCAGACAAAGACUGCAGACCCUGGGUUUUCAUUUCAGUGCAUUACUCUUACUGCCUUCAGCAGGCCCUGAUGUGCUCAUGUAAGUGCAAUUAUUCAGUUUCCUGCUCAUG